AAAAAAGCAAACCACGGAUUUUCGUGCUAACGUUUGACUGUCCGUCUUAUAUGAAAAUUUUUUAUAAUUAGUAUUUUCAUUAUUGUUAGAUGAUAAAACAUGAUUAAUACUUUAUGCGUGACUUAUCUUUUUAAUUUUUUUUCAUAAUUUUUUUAAAUAAGAUAGACGGUCAAAUGUUGGACACGGAAAGCAGGGUUUGUCUUUUU
Non-coding RNA from Oryza barthii, 206 nucleotides. NCBI's taxonomy places the organism in Eukaryota, Viridiplantae, Streptophyta, Magnoliopsida, Poales, Poaceae. The record is from Rfam.